RNAcentral lists this ribosomal RNA (492 nucleotides) under uncultured Bacteroidota bacterium. Its description in RNAcentral is "uncultured Bacteroidetes bacterium partial 16S ribosomal RNA". Lineage: Bacteria; Pseudomonadati; Bacteroidota. The record is from RNAcentral.
CACAGAGUUAGCCGAUGCUUAUUCCUCAGAUACCGUCAUUGUUUCUUCUCCGAGAAAAGAAGUUGACGACCCGUAGGCCUUCCACCUCCACGCGGCAUUGCUCCGUCAGGCUUUCGCCCAUUGCGGAAAAUUCCUCACUGCUGCCUCCCGUAGGAGUCUGGUCCGUGUCUCAGUACCAGUGUGGGGGACCUUCCUCUCAGAACCCCUACGCAUCGUCGCCACGGUGGGCCGUUACCCCGCCGUCAAGCUAAUGCGCCGCAUGCCCAUCCUCUUCCGAUGAAUCUUUCCUCGAUCUCGGAUGCCCGAAACCGAUAUACGCGGGAUUAGCCUCCCUUUCGGAAGGUUGUCCCCCUGAAGAGGGCAGGUUGCAUACGUGUUACUCACCCGUGCGCCGGUCGCCGGCAAGGAAAGCAAGCUUCCUCCCGAUGCCCCUCGACUUGCAUGUGUUAAGCCUGCCGCUAGCGUUCAUCCUGAGCCAGGAUCAAAACUCUA